GUGAAUGUGUGGCCAGGAGCCGGGGUGUGAGAGGUGGUGGAAAGGUGGUGUGGGAUGACUGGGCGGACAGCGGGUGUGGGCUGCUCGGAAAGUCGGAUUGGAAAUCCCUUGUCUCAACCUAGGAAGUGCAUUCGAAACUUCUGGGCGUGAUUGCUGGAGAGGAAGGCGGAAUGCUCGGUGUAGAGGUUAAAUUCGUAGAUAGCGAGGGGAACACCGGUGGCGAAGGCGGCCUGCUGGACAGCAACUGACGCUGAGACGCGAAAGCGUGGGGAGCAAACAGGAUUAGAUACCCCUGUAGUC
RNAcentral lists this ribosomal RNA (300 nucleotides) under uncultured Pyrobaculum sp. RNAcentral's name for it is "bacterial SSU rRNA". The stretch from base 52 to 300 matches the Rfam family "Bacterial small subunit ribosomal RNA", at positions 547 to 795 of the family's 1533-position model. The record is from RNAcentral. Lineage: Archaea; Thermoproteati; Thermoproteota; Thermoprotei; Thermoproteales; Thermoproteaceae.